Long non-coding RNA from Astyanax mexicanus (Mexican tetra), 357 nucleotides. RefSeq lists it as uncharacterized. The record is from RefSeq and is a predicted model, not a curated record. The transcript has 3 exons. NCBI's taxonomy places the organism in Eukaryota, Metazoa, Chordata, Actinopteri, Characiformes, Acestrorhamphidae.
GUUUGGUGUCUCUCUGUGGGUCAGGUGGGUGUUUGUUUGGUGUCUCUCUGUGGGUCAGGUAGGUGUUUGUUUGGUGUCUCUCUGUGGGUCAGGUAGGUGUUUGUUUGGUGUCUCUCUGUGGGUCAGGUAGGUGUUUGUUUGGUGUCUCUCUGUGGGUCAGGUAGGUGUUUGUUUGGUGUCUCUCUGUGGGUCAGGUGGGUGUUUGGCUGGUAUCUGUGGGUCAGGUGGGAGUUUGUUGGCUCUCUGUGGGUCAGGUGGGUGUUUGGUGUCUCUCUGUGGGUCAGGUGGGUGUUUGUUUGGUGGCUCUCUGUGGGUCAGGUAGGUGUUUGUUUGGUGUCUCUCUGUGGGUCAGGUGGG